UAAAGGAAGCGAUUCCGGCUACGGAUGGUUAUGCGUCGCAUUAGCUAGUUGGCGGGGUAACGGCCCACCAAGGCGACGAUGCGUAGGGGUUCUGAGAGGAAGGUCCCCCACACUGGUACUGAGACACGGACCAGACUCCUACGGGAGGCAGCAGUGAGGAAUAUUGGUCAAUGGCCGCAGGGCUGAACCAGCCAAGUCGCGUGAGGGAUGACGGUCCUAUGGAUUGUAAACCUCUUUUGUCAGGGAGCAAAGGGCGCCACGUGUGGCGCUUUGCGAGUACCUGAAGAAAAAGCAUCGGCUAACUCCGUGCCAGCAGCCGCGGUAAUACGGAGGAUGCGAGCGUUAUCCGGAUUUAUUGGGUUUAAAGGGUGCGCAGGCGGAAUGUCAAGUCAGCGGUAAAAUUUCGGGGCUCAACCCCGUCGUGCCGUUGAAACUGGCGUUCUUGAGUGAGCGAGAAGUAUGCGGAAUGCGUGGUGUAGCGGUGAAAUGCAUAGAUAUCACGCAGAACUCCGAUUGCGAAGGCAGCAUACCGGCGCUCAACUGACGCUCAUGCACGAAAGCGUGGGUAUCGAACAGGAUUAGAUACCCUGGUAGUCCACGCAGUAAACGAUGAAUACUAACUGUCCGGGCAGAAUGAUGCCUGG
Molecule: ribosomal RNA, 644 nt
Filed under: uncultured bacterium
Lineage: Bacteria
Description: bacterial SSU rRNA
Rfam family: Bacterial small subunit ribosomal RNA
Source: RNAcentral